This 460-nucleotide ribosomal RNA is filed under the name uncultured bacterium. RNAcentral describes it as "partial 16S ribosomal RNA". It matches the Rfam family "Bacterial small subunit ribosomal RNA", at positions 338 to 795 of the family's 1533-position model. The record is from RNAcentral.
CCUACGGGUGGCAGCAGUGAGGAAUAUUGGUCAAUGGACGCAAGUCUGAACCAGCCAAGUAGCGUGAAGGAUGACUGCUCUAUGAGUUGUAAACUUCUUUUGUAUGGGGAUAAAAUCAUCCACGUGUGUCUGUUUGUAUGUAUCGUACGAAUAAGGAUCGGCUAACUCCGUGCCAGCAGCCGCGGUAAUACGGAGGAUUCAAGCGUUAUCCGGAUUUAUUGGGUUUAAAGGGUGCGUAGGUGGAUUGUUAAGUUAGAUGUGAAAGCCCGAGGCUCAACUGUGGAAUUGCAUUUGAUACUGGUCGGCUAGAGAAUAGUUGCGGUAGGCGGAAUGUGUGGUGUAGCGGUGAAAUGCUUAGAGAUCACGCAGAACUCCGAUUGCGAAGGCAGCUUACCAAGCUACUUCUGACAUUGAUGCACGAAAGCGUGGGUAGCAAACAGGAUUAGAUACCCGGGUAGUC